RNAcentral lists this ribosomal RNA (468 nucleotides) under uncultured bacterium. Its description in RNAcentral is "partial 16S ribosomal RNA". It matches the Rfam family "Bacterial small subunit ribosomal RNA", at positions 28 to 507 of the family's 1533-position model. The record is from RNAcentral.
GACGAACGCUGGCGGCGUGCUUAACACAUGCAAGUCGAACGGAAAGGCCCUGCUUUUGUGGGGUGCUCGAGUGGCGAACGGGUGAGUAACACGUGAGUAACCUGCCCUUGACUUUGGGAUAACUUCAGGAAACUGGGGCUAAUACCGGAUAGGAGCUCCUGCUGCAUGGGGGGGGUUGGAAAGUUUCGGCGGUUGGGGAUGGACUCGCGGCUUAUCAGCUUGUUGGUGGGGUAGUGGCUUACCAAGGCUUUGACGGGUAGCCGGCCUGAGAGGGUGACCGGCCACAUUGGGACUGAGCUACGGCCCAGACUCCUACGGGAGGCAGCAGUGGGGAAUAUUGCACAAUGGGCGGAAGCCUGAUGCAGCAACGCCGCGUGCGGGAUGACGGCCUUCGGGUUGUAAACCGCUUUCGCCUGUGACGAAGCGUGAGUGACGGUAAUGGGUAAAGAAGCACCGGCUAACUACGUG